RNAcentral lists this long non-coding RNA (5272 nucleotides) under Cucumis sativus (cucumber). RNAcentral describes it as "long non-coding RNA (CSAT_LNC001785)". Lineage: Eukaryota; Viridiplantae; Streptophyta; Magnoliopsida; Cucurbitales; Cucurbitaceae. The record is from RNAcentral.
GCAGGCUAAGGAACAAGUCACCACCCUCGAUACCGUAAAACCCUUUUGCAAUAACAGAGACAGGAUGGAUCCUCCUUUGGUCUCGAAGGAUCGACCGAGCUAAACUUGCGACAGAGUACCCGAUCGCCCAUGAUGUGUAGCCCUUAAGGUUUAUGACUUCGUAAGCCCCACCUAUGACCUCUUUGUGAAUUUUCUCUAAUGUUUCUUUCUCGUAGGCGAUUUGUUGAUUCUUUAGAAAGCUUAGGAUCGGCACCCCACCCACACUUAUGCUCGACCAUAGUGCCACCGAGCUGUCGCCAUGCUCUCCAACUAUGAAUGCCUUCAAAAACAUACAUAUAUAUAAUCCACUCUUUUUUAGCUUCAUGAUCCAAAUAUCAAUGCUAGUUUAAUUUCUAGGUAUUCAUCUAUGGUUUGAUACCUAAACGAUGGUCUGAAUUCUAAUUGGGUGAGCUUUGAAUUUAUUUUUUCACUUUGGUAACUAAAUUUUCAAAAUAUUGUUUUGGUUUUUAUUAUUUUCUUUUCUAACUUUACCUUAAAAAUAAUAAUUACAUUUCUAAUUUAUAAUUUUAAAAGUUAGCAUUUAGCUCUUUCUAACAAAAAUUAAAAGAAUUAUUUUUAAGCGUUUUUAUGUUUUUUUUUUUUUUACCUACAUCCCACAAUUGUAUGAAAUCUAACCUUAUGUUUAUGUCAUAAUGUAUUUUUAGCCUUCUAAAUGACAUCGUGGAUAGGGAUGAACUUCCAAAUCGAGUGGUGCCUCGUGGUAGAGAAGUCAUAACCCAAUGUGACAUCAUUUUUUAAAACUUUUUCCCAUUCAACAUUGCCUUGCGGUAGACAAGUCCACUAUAAUCUCUAAUACUUUUUUCAAAUCCCUAUCCCAACUUCACAUGUUUGUGGUUGCGGGCCAAACAAUUGUAAAUAUCCUAAUUAUAUUUAAAAUAAUAGUGUAUAUAGUAAUAUUUUUAUAAAAAAAUGCAAAUACAACAAAAUAGGUUAGAUUUUAUCAAUAAUAGAUCAAUAUUUACAUGCAAUAAUAAACCAUAAGAGUCUAUCAUCUAGAAUUUGCUAUAUUUGUAAUUUUUAAAACGUUGGUAUAAAUUGUUAUCCAUUAUCACUCCAAUUCGAUAACCGAUCAUCAGACCAAAAAGCUCUCAUAUUUAUUAGGGUUUUAAUUAUAAACAUAAUAUAAGUAAGAUGUCCAAAUUUAUAAAUGAUAGUUAAGUUUUUGAGUUCAAAUAUAAAUUACUCGUACACGUAAUUUGAUUUAUAUGAAUGUCUAUUUAAACUUGAUUUAUGAACUUACAAAAAAAGUCUAAUAACUUGUUUGUGGGAAAUGAUAAAUUACAAAUCACUCGAAAUAUUUACAAAUAUGAAAUUUUGUGGUUCAUUUGGUUUACUUUUUCCCAAAAAAAUGAUCAACUCAUUUGGUUCCAAUCAACCAAAAACAAUUCAAACGAAAGGGAACUUUCUUCAGCAAAAGAACGCCAAAUUAACCAAAAAAACAAUGAUCAAUCGGAAAACGGACCUGAACAUCCUGAGCGUUAACGUCGAGAUGAUCCGCAAUAAGAAACCGAAACCUAGAUGAAUCCAGAUUCGUUCCCGAUCCAAUCACACGAUUCGACGAAAAACCAGAGAGUUUCCAAGCAACAUAAGUCAAAACAUCCACCGGAUUCGAAACAAUCAAAAGAAUCGUCUCAGGAGAGAACUGAACCAACAGCGGAACGAUCUUCUGAAACAGAGUAACAUUCCUCUGCAAUAGGUUCAACCUAGAUUCACCGGCGAUCUGCCGAGCACCAGCAGUAACAAUACACAGAUCAGAUCUAGCAGUAAUGGAGUAAUCAGUGGAGGCGCUGAUUUUUGUACGAGGGAGAAAAGCAGCAGCGUGUUGGAGAUCUAGCAUUUCGCCACGGAGUUUGUCGGGCUUGGCGUCGACGAGGACGAGUUCAUCGACCAGAUCUUGAGUGAGGAUGGUUUGAGCGAUGGCCAUACCGACGUUUCCAGUGCCGAUGACAGAGAUUUUGGUGUUGCAAUUUGAGGUGGAUAGAGGAGAGGCGUCGCGGAUUGGUUUGAAGAAGGCUUGAGAAAGGUCGAGGCCGCCGGGACCUAAGGAAGAGGUUGAGGGACUUUUCUGCAUUGCAAAAAAGGGUUUUGGAGAUUGUGAUCGGCGGUGGAAUUUUUUGUUGCAGAUAACUUGGCGGAUUUUGUAAGGGGAACGCGUUGGAAAGGAUGAAGAAGAAGAAAAUUUUUCUUCAUUUUUUUGCAUGGAUUUGAUGGAUUGGUGUAAUACAAAGUUGAUAUCCUCAAUAUAAGUUUUAUACAUUUUAAUACGAUCUUACUAUCACCACCAACAUAUUAUAUCUUUCACUUGAAGUGCUUUAAUAUUUAUAUCUUUUCACUUUUAAAAUUUUCAAUCCUACAUCUUGAAUUAAAACAAUAAAUUUAGUAUAAUAAUAAUAAAACCUUAGUCUAAUUCUCGGAAAAGUAGUAAAUUCCUUUCCUGUAGUAAAUUCCUUUCCUAGUCUUUCUUCAAACAACUAGCACUACUCCAUGUACACCAAUCUGUCAACGUCGCUCCACCACUCCACCGCUUACCUCUAAUUAAAAUGAUUUAGAUCGUUAAAUUAACACAUACAUUUGAACAUUAUAUCUUCUUCAUUUAACACAUAAAUUUAAGCAUUUCAAAUUUUUAUUUCAAGAAAUUUGAAUCAAUAUUGUUGUUGUUGGUCUAUUUUGAGUUAGUAAGUGAACAUUACAUAGUCUAUCUACUUAAACAAAAUUAAUUAACUAAUCUCUUUAUCAAUCAACUUCCAUUCAUUAAAUUUAUUAAAUUGUUACUUAUUAAAACUUUUAAAACAUGAUUAUUUCCACCCAAUCUAAUCAAUUUUAUUCAUUUUUCCUUGGACUUUAUAAUUUCCUACUUUUAUGACUUUUGGUGAAAGAAUAAGAAUAAGAAUAUUGAAAUAUUAAUACAUUUGUGAGAUGGAGGUUACAUAUGCAAAAUAGAUUCCAUAUAAUUGCACAAGCUUCCCUAAGUUUAUUUAUUGUAAUUUAUGUCAAUUUUCCUCUAGGGAAUAAUUCGAUUAGACAUCACUAAAUUGAUUAAAGUUAAUAUUAUAAUGUACUAAUUUAACUGUUACAAAAGUUUAGUUUAAUCCAUAUCUAUAAAAUUCCAUCAUUCCAUUUUGUAAUAAACAAAUAAUUAUCCUAAUUAAUUUAUAUCCUAUAAUCAUUUUUGUGUUGAUAAAAGUGCCAGAUAUGUCGAAUGAAAUAUCUAUAAAACGUCAUGUUAGUAGUUUCUUCUUUUAGCAAAUUGUAAAUAUUAAAAUAUUAGAAAAAUAUCCAAUUGAAAAAUAAAUAUAUAUGCUAUUAAAUAAAGUUCUUAUCACUAAUAUUAGGUUCCCUAUACCGUAUAAUAAAAAGUUGAAACAUUCAUACAUACCCACGAUGUUAGACAACAAAAAAAAUAAUUCUGUUGUACAAGAAAUAUAUAUGUAUAUGUAUAUAUGUAACUAAAUUAGGGUAGAUUCAUGACUUAAGUUGAUAACAAAUUAUAUUUUAAAAUAAUAUAUUUUACCUAAAAUUAUGCAUUUUAUAUAGUAACAACUUAGAUAUAUUUUCUACAAUUAUGCAUAUACAAAUUUUUCGAUUGACCAUAUUAUUAUAUAUAAUAAUACAUAUUUAGUUUAUACUAUUUAAUUCACAUAAUUAAAUCAUUAAUAAUGUUUUUUCUUCCUAAUAGGUUUUGUUGGAAGAUUUCAAAUUUUGAAUUUAAAAUAAUAUCUUCUACCUAAAUAUAUGUAUUUUAUAUAAUAACAAAUUCAUAUAAUUAGUGUAUCUUUCCUAUUUUUAAGCAUUAUUUUAUGAAUUAAAUGUUAGUUUAACGACAAUAAUAAAAUCAGUUUAUGUAAUUAUCAUUUUAAAUGAGGGAUGUUCUCCAUAGAUUUUAUUGAAUAUCAUUUAAAAUUGAUUUUAAACUACAAAAACACUAAAAAAGAUUAUUCAAAUGACAAUAUUCUAAUAUGAUUUUUAUUUGAAAUUAUUUAAUUGUACCAAUUUUCCUUACUUUUAUUUUGGGUACAAAAGUAUUCGAAUAAACUUAUUUUCAGUUUUGGAAGUUUUUCACGCAGUUGUCCUCUUUAUUGGUUGCAUUUAUGGUACUCUUGUUUUGGAAUUCUUACGGUGCAUUCAAGAUAGAAUUUUUUCAUCCUUACAUAUUUGUAUGUGUCGCGUUACUCUCUAUUGUGAUGGAUACAACAGUUCGAACCUUAUUUGGAUUGGUGAAGAGAAGGACAUGUAUUGACUUAUGUUGAUUAUGUCGAAAUUUCCUGACAAUGAUUUUGUUUUGGUUCUUGAUUUCGCAAGGAAGAGAAUGAUUACCUUAAGAAGUUUAAAUUCUAAAGGUAUGAGAUGGAGCUUCACAAUAAUUGUAUGUUUUUUUUAUUUUAGUUAUUUAGAGGGAAUUUUGUUUAUACCAUUUGUUUUCCAAUUACAGUGUAACGUGAGUUUAUGUUAAUGUGCUAAACAUAUAUAUCACACACAAAAAUUGAUGAGACUUCAUAAGGAAGACAUACAAAUUAUUAUAUUUUCAUUAAAAUUUGUGAGUUUAGGGAGAUUUGUUCAUCAAUGUAGCGUCUCAUGAUCAUAAUAUCAUUCUUUGUAUUAUCAAAGUUAAUACAUUUAUCAUAUGUAAUUAAGUGUAACAUCCUAAGGGGUAAUAAAAAAAGAAAACAUUAUCAAUCUCACCCCCUAUUCAUAGUUAGCUCUUUCCUAUUCAACCAACCCCAUAACAAACACAAACAUCACCAUAACAGCCCAUCAAAAACAUCCAUAGGAUAGAAAAUGUAGUUAAAUGUUUAAAUCCCCAACUCGGUUUGCACCUGCAAGAUGGUGUUUGCCGAGUCCCUCAACCGUUUCGAUUCCUCUGCCGUUAGAUGCACAUUGGUGAUCCCCAAUACUCCACCCCUCCCAAGUUGUGCAGGCAGGCUAAGGAACAAGUCGCCACCAUCAAUACCGUAAAACCCUUUUGCGAGAACAGAGACAGGAUGGAUCCUCCUUUGGUCUCGAAGGAUCGACCGAGCUAAACUCGCAACGGAGUACCCGAUCGCCCAUGAUGUGUAGCCCUUAAGGUUUAUGACUUCGUAAGCCCCACCUAUAACCUCUUUGUGAAUUUUCUCUAAUGUUUCUUUUUCGUAGCCGAUUUGUUGAUUCUUUAGAAAGCUUAGGAUCGGCACCCCGCCCACACUUAUGCUUGACCAUAGCGCCACCGAGCUGUCGC